This 73-nucleotide transfer RNA is filed under the name Clytia hemisphaerica. RNAcentral's name for it is "tRNA-SeC for anticodon UCA". It matches the Rfam family "tRNA". Rfam says of the family: Transfer RNA (tRNA) molecules are approximately 80 nucleotides in length. Their secondary structure includes four short double-helical elements and three loops (D, anti-codon, and T loops). Further hydrogen bonds mediate the characteristic L-shaped molecular structure. tRNAs have two regions of fundamental functional importance: the anti-codon, which is responsible for specific mRNA codon recognition, and the 3' end, to which the tRNAs corresponding amino acid is attached (by aminoacyl-tRNA synthetases). tRNAs cope with the degeneracy of the genetic code in two manners: having more than one tRNA (with a specific anti-codon) for a particular amino acid; and 'wobble' base-pairing, i.e. permitting non-standard base-pairing at the 3rd anti-codon position. The record is from Rfam by way of RNAcentral. Lineage: Eukaryota; Metazoa; Cnidaria; Hydrozoa; Leptothecata; Clytiidae.
GUCUCGGUGGCGCAGUGGAGAGCGUGCGGGAUUUCAAAUACAAUGGUUGUGGGUUCGAAUCCCAUCGUCGACG